AUGAAGUCUCACGACUGUCACGUGCUGAUGACGCAGAUACUUCAAGUUGCAAUCCAUGGGAUCAUCGACGUGCACGUCCGUGAAACGCUAUUUGGCCUAUGCAAUUUUUUCGACGUCAUCUCUCGGAAGUCGGUUGGCGUGAGGCAACUCAGAAGGCUACAGGAAGAUAUCGUGGUGAUACUAUGCGAGCUUGAGAUGUACUUCCCGCCCGCAUUCUUCGAUGUUAUGGUGCAUCUGCUGGUCCAUAUCAUGGAGGAUAUCAUCCAACUCGAGUCGACGUUCGAAAGGAUGAAUCGUGUCAUCAAAGGAUACGUUUGCAACAUGUCACGUCCAGAGGGAAGCAUAGCCAGGGGCUUUCUGACCGAAGAGUGCAUCUCCUACUGCACGAAUUAUCUAGGCAUUGAGAACCCCGUUGGUCUGCCCGUCAACAGGCACCUCCACAGGCUCGCUAGAUGGGGUCACCGCGAUGGUCGCCGCAAAAUGCAUGUCGACAUCGAGGGUCGACUCGCCGACUUUGAAAGAGCAAACCUAGUCGCGCUACAACACAUAGACUUGGUCGAUACUUGGGUAGUAGAGCACAAAACCUUUAUUGAGAAGACGUACAACGACCGAGGCCAACAGAGGACGGACGGAGAGAUAAUCAAAGAGCACAACUCAUGUUUCUCGCAUUGGUUCAAGGAGAAGCUUCUGUCGUACCCUUUACAUGAGGAUUCUUCCGCGGAAGAAAAACUCAUAUUCGCCUUGUAA
RNAcentral lists this ribosomal RNA (747 nucleotides) under Triticum aestivum (bread wheat). Its description in RNAcentral is "partial small subunit ribosomal RNA". Lineage: Eukaryota; Viridiplantae; Streptophyta; Magnoliopsida; Poales; Poaceae. The record is from RNAcentral.